GUCGUCAGCUCGUGUCGUGAGAUGUUGGGUUAAGUCCCGUAACGAGCGUAACCCUUGUCCCUAGUUGCCAGCGGUCCGGCCGGGAACUCUAGGGAGACUGCCGGUGACAAACCGGAGGAAGGUGGGGAUGACGUCAGGUCAUCAUGGCCCUUACGGCCAGGGCUACACACGUGCUACAAUGGGGCGCACAGUGGGCAGCAAGCGCGCGAGCGCAAGCGAAUCCCUUAAAACGCCUCUUAGUCCGGAUCGGAGUCUGCAACUCGACUCCGUGAAGUCGGAAUCGCUAGUAAUCGCAGAUCAGAAUGCCGCGGUGAAUACGUUCCCGGGA
RNAcentral lists this ribosomal RNA (328 nucleotides) under uncultured Pseudomonas sp. RNAcentral describes it as "bacterial SSU rRNA". It matches the Rfam family "Bacterial small subunit ribosomal RNA", at positions 1051 to 1378 of the family's 1533-position model. RNAcentral also lists the same sequence under 1 other name. The record is from RNAcentral. Lineage: Bacteria; Pseudomonadati; Pseudomonadota; Gammaproteobacteria; Pseudomonadales; Pseudomonadaceae.